This 460-nucleotide ribosomal RNA is filed under the name uncultured bacterium. RNAcentral describes it as "partial 16S ribosomal RNA". It matches the Rfam family "Bacterial small subunit ribosomal RNA", at positions 338 to 795 of the family's 1533-position model. The record is from RNAcentral.
CCUACGGGAGGCAGCAGUGAGGAAUAUUGGUCAAUGGACGAGAGUCUGAACCAGCCAAGUAGCGUGAAGGAUGACUGCCCUAUGGGUUGUAAACUUCUUUUAUAUGGGAAUAAAAUGUUCCACGUGUGUGAUUUUGUAUGUACCAUAUGAAUAAGGAUCGGCUAACUCCGUGCCAGCAGCCGCGGUAAUACGGAGGAUCCGAGCGUUAUCCGGAUUUAUGGGGUUUAAAGGGAGCGUAGGUGGGUUGUUAAGUCAGUUGUGAAAGUUUGCGGCUCAACCGUAAGAUUGCAGUGGAUACUAGCAGACUAGAGGAAGAUAGAGGUAGGCGGAAUUCGUGGUGUAGCGGUGAAAGGCGUAGAUAUCAGGAAGAACAACGAUGGAGAAGGCAGCUUACUGGAUCGAAACUGACGCUGAGGUACGAAAGCGUGGGUAGCAAACAGGAUUAGAUACCCCGGUAGUC